RNAcentral lists this long non-coding RNA (233 nucleotides) under Olea europaea (common olive). RNAcentral describes it as "long non-coding RNA (OEUR_LNC012883)". The record is from RNAcentral. Lineage: Eukaryota; Viridiplantae; Streptophyta; Magnoliopsida; Lamiales; Oleaceae.
GCCCUAUGUGGCGUCGCCUGCCUGUCACAAGGGUUGUUGCGUAUUAGAAUUUAUUGAUUGACAAAACUUGAAUUAAACUCCAUAAAGAAGAAGAACAAACUCCAUAAAAGGAGAACAAAAUACACUCCGUAAUAGGAGGAAAUGACACUCCAUUAAAGGAGGAAGAAUCACUCCAUAGAAGGAGGAAGAGAAACCUCCAUGGAAGGAGGGAUUGGAAGACUACAAUCCAAUGA